GAAACCUCCCCGGAGUGUGUGUGGUGUUUCCGCUGCCUACCGGAAACAACAUUCUUAGAGCUGGAGGCGUCUACCUCCUUCCCAGACACGGCCUUUUUCACUGUGCCUUGUCUGCAUUCUGGACCACCAGGAGCCAUGAGAGAGAGAGAGAGAGACCCCCACUUUUGGACCACCGCUCCUCCCGUCUGAAGAGCCCUGGGUUUGGUGUGACUGGGUGGCAGGUGGUGUGUGAUGUUUUCGAGUGGCAGUGGUCUCUGGCACCUGGGGACAGCCAUGCCCACACUGACCAGGUAUGUAGAGUGCUCAGCCUUACCUGACAGCAUAUUUGUAACUGAAUACA
Molecule: long non-coding RNA, 340 nt
Filed under: Fukomys damarensis (Damara mole-rat)
Lineage: Eukaryota; Metazoa; Chordata; Mammalia; Rodentia; Bathyergidae
Description: lncRNA (ENSFDAG00000029162.1)
Source: RNAcentral